RNAcentral lists this long non-coding RNA (4539 nucleotides) under Homo sapiens (human). RNAcentral's name for it is "long non-coding RNA NONHSAT149546.1". Lineage: Eukaryota; Metazoa; Chordata; Mammalia; Primates; Hominidae. The record is from RNAcentral.
AUUCAGUGUUCUGGUUUUAUAAAUUGGAAACUUCUCUUUUGAAGUAUUUGUGUGGUUUCCCAGUGUCCUUCAUAUGAUCUAAAUUUAGGGUUCUGUAAAGGAACUACUUCCAGGAACACCUCCAAGUUGACUUGGGCUCGAUUUGAAAAGCUUUGUUGUUAGUACUAAAAUUGAAAAUGAGGAUUACCCUGAUUUCAGUAAAACAACCCAAAUUUUAUAAAUUGCCACUUCCAUAGCUUAAGUUGUAUAAUUGUUUAUAAGCUGUUUAUCUGAGGCAAUAUAUUUAGUGUUUACAGCUUAUAGAGCAUCUAUUUUUCUUCUGACAAUAGUAUAUCUGAUUAUGGCUUCUGACCAUCAUCUCUAUCUCCUAUUUCAGUUUAGUCUUUUUGAGCUUCCCUGUUUAAAGAUCCUUUAACUUAAUAACUUGAAUUAUCUAGUUUUAAAAUCUUGGCAGAGGAAUUUAUUGAAUAACAAAAUUCCUUCAAACCUCAGACAAGUUUGGUCUUAGCAAUAAAUAAGUUAUUUUGAUCAAUCUAUUCUCUUCAGCAACUUGUACUCUUAAUUGGAGAAACUAUUAAACAGGUGAAUAGUUAAUUUCUAAUGAUUUUUUUUUCCUGUCACCCAGGCUGGAGUGCAGUGGCAUGAUUUUGGCUCACUGCAACCUCUGCCUCCGGGGUUCAAGCGAUUCUCCUGCCUCAGCCUCCUGAGUAGUUGGGAUUAUAGGUGUGUGCUGUCACGCCUGGCUGAUUUUUUGUAAUUUAGUAGAGACAGGGUUUCACCACGUUGGCCAGGCUGGUCUCGAACUCCUGGCCUGAAACAAUCCUCCCACCUCAGCCUCCCAAAGUGUUGGGAUUACAGGCACGAGCCACUGCGCCCUGCCUCUAAUGAAUUUUUAUGGGUGAUAUAGGUGUAUGAAUGAGCAUAUGAACAAGUUACUUGAAACUGGGAUGGUCAAGAAAGGCUUUACAAAAGAAUUUGUUAGAGUAGGACAUGGAAUGGUGGAGAGAGAUUGGGAUGGACGUGUCAGGCAGACAAGCAUAAGUAAGAAUAUAGCAGCUUAUGGAUUGAUGGGAAAGAUAAGAUGCAAACUGAAGCCUGGAAUACUAGUAAAAUGAUUGGGUCAACAAAAAUAGGGAAUCCUGAAGGGUAGGCCAGUUUGAGGGGUGGAGAGUGGAAACAGAUCAUUUGGGGCACAUUGAUAGCAGUCAUUUAUUGACUGUCUACUUCAAGCCAAGGAUUCUGCCAAGUACUGUACACACAUUGUCUCAUUUAAGUCUCACCACAGACCAUAAUUUGACAGUUUAGUGAUAGAGCCACAGUUCUAACCAGGCCUUUGUCCCAGCUAAGGCUCUCUUGGUUACCGUACUCGUGGAGGCUAGGAAUGAGAUUAAAGCUGCAAACCUGAAAAAAUGGGCAAUGGAUUUCAAACUAUAGUUUAUGAACAUUGGCAGUACUUGGGAAAUGUACAGGCCCUUGGUACCUCCCUAGACAUUCUGGAAUUUGUUAGGACCAGCAUGACUUAGGAGUCUUUGUUCUUUUACAAACCCCUCAGGUAAUUCUGAUAUAUUCUGUGGUCAGUGGGCCAUGUGUUGAGCAACACUGGCCCAUAGAGAGUAGAGUACUAAGGUAAACUUAGGAUAAUGUCAUAUUUGAGGCAUGGGAAGAGAAGAUGGUGCUGGAAAAAAGCCUAGAUAGGAAAAAAAGAAUUGUGUUGUCUCAGAAACUGAGAGGAGCUUCUAGAAGAUAACUUUAAAGCUGUUGCAGCAGGCAAGGAGAACAAAACUGCAAUUGCCAUGGAAUUUAUUACUUAAAAUUGCCACUUAAGUAACAUAACAGUUUUCUAGUCAUGUAAUUAUUUCUCCAAGAAACUCAAUCUAGAUUACUAUUUAAUUUUGCCUCAUAACAGUCCUGAAGAUGGGCCACUGUUUUGUUUAUGAAAUGCUAAAGGGACACCAGAAAAGUUUUGUGACUAACUGAAGGAUACACAGCCAGGAACUGAUUGAGGUAUCUUUGAGUUUUCAGAUGUCUAUCUAAAAAUACUGUGACUAUAGUCUUAAAAUUGAAAGUGAUGCUGGGAUUGAGUGUGUACACAUGAAACUUAUUUCCAUUAAUGGACCAUCACCUAUAUCUACUACUCCUAAGUUAUCAAUAGGAUUGAGACAAAGGCAUUAUAGGUAAAGUUGAGUGUAUCUUUGUCCUGUAAAUGAUUAUUUUGAAUUACAGUAUCUAUACUGCAUUUGUGUUUGAUAAGUAUAGCCAAUGAACUAUUCAAAUAUUUGAGUACAUAUUAUAUAUCAGACAUUAUUCUAGAUCUUGGGAGUGUCUUUGUGAAAAAAAAAAAGAGACGUUUUUCUCUUUUCUUGUGGAGCUUACAGUCUGGUGGAAGAAAGGAGGUGGUAAGCUAUAAAUUAGGGCCUUUAGGCUCCAGACAAAGGGUUUGGAUUGUAUUCUAAGUGCUGAUUGCUAUGGGAAGACAUUGUAGGUUUUUAAGCAGAGAGUGAUGUGAUUUGAUCAAUAUUUGACUACCUGUCUGAGGAAAGUAAUAAAUUUCCUUCAAAUGCCAAAGAAAAUAAGUUACUUAGCAUUUCACAGAUUCUCUGUCAGAUUGUAACUAUGUUCCUGUUCAGAGAUCAGCACUGUUCUUUUAUUUAAAUACAAUAAUAAAGAUUUUAUUUCUUUUUAGGGCUCAUAGUUGUUGACCAUUCUGAACUUUCAAAGCAGUCUCCCUUCUGAAGAUGCCUCAUUUUCUGAAUGUGCUGCUUCAUAUUUUCUGCUUUCAAUAAACUGUCAUGACAGUUUCCACUGUAGUCAUAUAUAUGACUGAUAUAACACACUGACCAUGCUUUCUAUAUUUCAUAACUUGCAGUUUUUCUAGUGAUAUUUAACCAGACUCCCUUGCUAAAAAAUAGUUUAGAGGGUCUUUUUGUGAAAUGGCUGUUAUCCUAUGCAAAUAAGAUACAUGUGUGUAUACAGUUUUUAAGUGCUGAAUUUAUCUGACCUUUCUGAGGUAACCAGCAGAUUCCUUUUUACCUAGGAAAAGGACUUAAUGAAAAAUUUUUAUGCAUAAGCCUAAGUCAUUACACUAGUGUCUGCAAUAUAAUUAUUACAGGUAAAAUUAUUAACACUUUGGGAUGCUGUAUUCGUAUAUGUUUUUUAUUACACAGUUUAAGACCUAUUGGGAAAAUUAAUGUUUCAUAAAAUUGAUUUUCAUUUUAGCAUAUAGAAAUUGACUAUCAGAGGCCAGGCACAGUGGCUCACGCCUGUAAUCCCAGCACUGUGGGAGGCCAAGGUGGUUGGAUCAUGAGGUCAGGAAUUUGAGACCAGCUUGGCCAACAUAGUAAAACGUGUCUCUACUAAAAAUACAAAAAAUUAGCCGGGCGUGGUGGCGCAUGCCUGUAAUCCCAGCUAUUCGGGAGGCUGAGGCAGGAGAAUUGCUUGAACCCGGGAGGUAGAGGUUGCAGUGAGCCGAGAUCACACCAUUGCACUCCAGCCCGGGUGACAGUGCGAGACUCCGUCUCAAAAAAAAAAAAAAAAUUGCCUAUCAGGCUGGGCGCUGAGUCUUGCACCUGUAAUCCCAGCGCUUUGGGAGGCCGAGGUGGGAGGAUUGCUUGAGCCCAGGAGUGCAAGACGUAUCUCUUAAAAAAAAAAAAAAAAAAAAAAAUUGAGUAUCAAUAGUUUUACCUAGCUCCCAAGAUAAGUAUCUUUCUUUCUUUCUUUUUUUGUGAUGGAGUCUUGCACUGUCGCCCUGGCUGUAGUGCAAUGGCGUGAUCUUGGCUCACUGCAACCUCUGCCUCCUGGGUUCAAGCGAUUCUCCUGCCUCAGCCUCCGGAGUAGCUGCAAUUAUAGGUGCCUGCCACCACACCCGGCUAAUUUUUUGUAUUUUUAGUAGUGUUGGGGUUUCACUCUGUUCACUAGGCUGGUCUUGAACUCCUGACCUCGUGAUCUGCCCACCUUGGCCUCCCAAAGUGCUGGGAUUACAGGCAUGAGCCAUCGCGCCCAGCCUACGAUAAGUAUCUUAAUAUAUGCCAUUUGUGUAUAUUUAUGUACAGAAACACUUCAGUAAACUAGACCCCUUAAUUGUAAUUUUUCUGCAUUCUAUGGCAGAGGUCUCAACUCUGGCUGUACAAUGGAAUCACCUGAGGAACUUUAAUACCAAUGACUGGGGCCCACUCUCAGAGAUUCAUAUAAAUUGAUGUAGAUUGAGUGGGUUUCUGCAAAGGCCCAGUUUUGUUUUCAUUUUGUUUUAAGUGCUCCCAGGUGAUUGUAACGUGCAGUCAGGGUUGACAACCACUGCUCUAGAGACACAUUUUAUACCUACAAACACACACAAUCAGCCUUUUAAGGAUUGCUUGAAAAUCAAAACACAAAACUUUGAGAAUGUAAUUUGGGUUCAGUACAGUAUGUAUAUUGCUCGGUCUUCUAGAAUCUGUUAUUGAAGUGUGGUCCUCAGACCAACAGCAUUAGUCUCAGCCGGAAGCUUAUUAGAAAUGCAGAAUUGCAGGGCCUUAUCCCAAACCCACUGAAUGGAACAAGAUCGUC